The sequence is a ribosomal RNA, 92 nucleotides long. It matches the Rfam family "Bacterial small subunit ribosomal RNA", at positions 1 to 95 of the family's 1533-position model. The record is from Rfam.
UUCACGGAGAGUUUGAUCCUGGCUCAGGACGAACGCUGGCGGCGUGCUUAACACAUGCAAGUCGAACGGUAAAGCCCUUCGGGGUGGAUCAG